RNAcentral lists this ribosomal RNA (443 nucleotides) under uncultured bacterium. RNAcentral describes it as "partial 16S ribosomal RNA". It matches the Rfam family "Bacterial small subunit ribosomal RNA", at positions 338 to 795 of the family's 1533-position model. The record is from RNAcentral.
CCUACGGGAGGCAGCAGUGGGGAAUAUUGGGCAAUGGGCGCAAGCCUGACCCAGCAACGCCGCGUGAAGGAAGAAGGCUUUCGGGUUGUAAACUUCUUUUGUCAGGGACGCAGCAAGUGACGGUACCUGACGAAUAAGCCACGGCUAACUACGUGCCAGCAGCCGCGGUAAUACGUAGGUGGCAAGCGUUAUCCGGAUGUAUUGGGUGUAAAGGGCGUGUAGGCGGGAAUGAAAGUCAGAUGGGAAAACUAUGGGCUCAACCCAUAGCCUGCAUUUGAAACUGUAUUUCUUGAGUGCUGGAGAGGCAAUCGGAAUUCCGUGUGUAGCGGUGGAAUGCGUAGAUAUACGGAGGAACACCAGUGGCGAAGGCGGAUUGCUGGACAGUAACUGACGCUGAGGCGCGAAAGCGUGGGGAGCAAACAGGAUUAGAUACCCCAGUAGUC